ACCAUGCAAGUCGAAACGAGAACAGAAGAGAGCUUGCUCUCUUGCUGCUAAGUGGNGNCACGGGUGAGUAAUAUAUAGGUAAUAUGCCUCUUACNUAAGGGAUAAUUGUUGGAAACGACUUGUAAUACCUUAUAUGCCUUUUGAACAUAAGUUCGUAAAGGGAAAGAUUUAUCGGUAAGAGAUUAGCCUGUACGGUAUCAGAUAGUUGGUGGGGUAAUGGCCUACCAAGUCUAUGACACCUAACUGGUUUGAGAGGAUGAUCAGUCACACUGGAACUGAGACACGGUCCAGACUCCUACGGGAGGCAGCAGUGGGGAAUAUUGCACAAUGGACGAAAGUCUGAUGCAGCAACGCCGCGUGGAGGAUGACACAUUUCGGUGCGUAAACUCCUUUUAUAUGAGAAGAUANUGACGGUAUCAUAUGAAUAAGCACCGGCUAACUCCGUGCCAGCAGCCGCGGUAAUACGGGGGGUGCAAGCGUUACUCGGAAUCACUGGGCGUAAAGAGCAUGUAGGCGGGUGAAUAAGUUGGAAGUGAAAUCCUAUAGCUUAACUAUAGAACUGCUUCCAAAACUGUUCACCUAGAGUAUGGGAGAGGUAGAUGGAAUUUCUGGUGUAGGGGUAAAAUCCGUAGAGAUCAGAAGGAAUACCGAUUGCGAAGGCGAUCUACUGGAACAUUACUGACGCUCAGAUGCGAAAGCGUGGGGAGCAAACAGGAUUAGAUACCCUGGUAGUCCACGCCCUAAACGAUGUACACUAGUUGUUGCUAUACUAGAUAUGGCAGUAAUGCAGUUAACACUUUAAGUGUACCGCCUGGGGAGUACGGUCGCAAGAUUAAAAACUCAAAGGAAUAGACGGGGACCCGCACAAGCGGUGGAGCAUGUGGUUUAAUUCGACGAUACGCGAAAAAACCUUACCUGGCCUUGACAUAGUAGGAAUCUUUAAGAGAUU
This 949-nucleotide ribosomal RNA is filed under the name uncultured Campylobacterota bacterium. RNAcentral describes it as "bacterial SSU rRNA". It matches the Rfam family "Bacterial small subunit ribosomal RNA", at positions 53 to 1008 of the family's 1533-position model. The record is from RNAcentral. Lineage: Bacteria; Pseudomonadati; Campylobacterota.